GACGAACGCUGGCGGCGUGCUUAACACAUGCAAGUCGAACGGAAAGGCCCUGCUUUUGUGGGGUGCUCGAGUGGCGAACGGGUGAGUAACACGUGAGUAACCUGCCCUUGACUUUGGGAUAACUUCAGGAAACUGGGGCUAAUACCGGAUAGGAGCUCCUGCUGCAUGGUGGGGGUUGGAAAGUUUCGGCGGUUGGGGAUGGACUCGCGGCUUAUCAGCUUGUUGGUGGGGUAGUGGCUUACAAAGGCUUUGACGGGUAGCCGGCCUGGGAGGGUGACCGGCCACAUUGGGACUGAGAUACGGCCCAGACUCCAACGGGAGGCAGCAGUGGGGAAUAUUGCACAAUGGGCGGAAGCCUGAUACAGCAACGCCGCGUGCGGGAUGACGGCCUUCGGGUUGUAAACCGCUUUCGCCUGUGACGAAGCGUGAGUGACGGUAAUGGGUAAAGAAGCACCGGCUAACUACGUG
This 468-nucleotide ribosomal RNA is filed under the name uncultured bacterium. Its description in RNAcentral is "partial 16S ribosomal RNA". It matches the Rfam family "Bacterial small subunit ribosomal RNA", at positions 28 to 507 of the family's 1533-position model. The record is from RNAcentral.